GACGAACGCUGGCGGCGUGCUUAACACAUGCAAGUCGAACGGAAAGGCCCUGCUUUUGUGGGGUGCUCGAGUGGCGAACGGGUGAGUAACACGUGAGUAACCUGCCCUUGACUUUGGGAUAACUUCAGGAAACUGGGGCUAAUACCGGAUAGGAGCUCCUGCUGCAUGGUGGGGGUUGGAAAGUUUCGGCGGUUGGGGAUGGACUCGCGGCUUAUCAGCUUGUUGGUGGGGUAGUGGCUUACCAAGGCUUUGACGGGUAGCCGGCCUGAGAGGGUAACCGGCCACAUUGGGACUGAGAUACGGCCCAGACUCCUACGGGAGGCAGCAGUGGGGAAUAUUGCACAAUGGGCGGAAGCCUGAUGCAGCAACGCCGCGUGCGGGAUGACGGCCUUCGGGUUGUAAACCGCUUUCGCCUGUGACGAAGCGUGAGUGACGGUAAUGGGUAAAGGAGCACCGGCUAACUACGUG
RNAcentral lists this ribosomal RNA (468 nucleotides) under uncultured bacterium. RNAcentral's name for it is "partial 16S ribosomal RNA". It matches the Rfam family "Bacterial small subunit ribosomal RNA", at positions 28 to 507 of the family's 1533-position model. The record is from RNAcentral.